AGGGUAAUGGCUUAAUUGGUAAAGCAAAUGACUUUUAAUCAUAGGAGUUCGGGUUCGAGCCCCGAUUACCUUA
This 73-nucleotide transfer RNA is filed under the name Pyronema omphalodes. RNAcentral's name for it is "tRNA-Lys". It matches the Rfam family "tRNA". Rfam says of the family: Transfer RNA (tRNA) molecules are approximately 80 nucleotides in length. Their secondary structure includes four short double-helical elements and three loops (D, anti-codon, and T loops). The record is from RNAcentral. Lineage: Eukaryota; Fungi; Ascomycota; Pezizomycetes; Pezizales; Pyronemataceae.